Molecule: ribosomal RNA, 795 nt
Filed under: uncultured bacterium
Lineage: Bacteria
Description: bacterial SSU rRNA
Rfam family: Bacterial small subunit ribosomal RNA
Source: RNAcentral
ACGGGUGAGUAAUAUGUAGAGAAUCUGCCCUUUAGUGGGGGACAACAGAGGGAAACUUCUGCUAAUACCCCAUAUGCGCGUAGCUGAGAUGCUAUUCGUGAAAGAUUUAUUGCUAAAGGAUGAGUCUGCAUCUGAUUAGCUAGUUGGGGGUGUAAUGGACCACCAAGGCGACGAUCAGUAGCUGGUUUGAGAGGAUGAUCAGCCACAAUGGGACUGAGACACGGCCCAUACUCCUACGGGAGGCAGCAGUAGGGAAUUUUGCGCAAUGGGCGAAAGCCUGACGCAGCAACGCCGCGUGAUCGCAGACGGCCUUCGGGUUGUAAAGAUCUGUCAGCAGGGACGAACAAUGACUGUACCUGCAGAGGAAGCACCGGCUAACUCCGUGCCAGCAGCCGCGGUAAUACGGGGGGUGCGAGCGUUGUCCGGAAUCAUUGGGCGUAAAGAGUUCGUAGGUGGUUUGUUAAGUUUGGUGUUAAAGGCGCAGGCUUAACCUGUGUAUGGCAUCGGAUACUGGCAGACUGGAAUGCGGUAGAGGUAAAGGGAAUUUCUGGUGUAGCGGUGAAAUGCUUAGAUAUCAGGAAGAACAUCGGUGGCGUAAGCGCUUUACUGGGCCGUAAUUGACACUGAGGAACGAGAGCCGGGGUAGCAAAUGGGAUUAGAUACCCCAGUAGUCCCGGCCGUAAACGAUGGAUACUAGGUGUUGCGGGUAUCGACCCCUGCAGUGCCGCAGCUAACGCGUUAAGUAUCCCGCCUGGGGAGUACGCACGCAAGUGUGAAACUCAAAUGAAUUGACGG